AUGCUGCAGAAUGCUGUGGACCCAAGGAGGAGGCCAACACAGCAAGCAGAGGGAGCCUCCCACACUGACUGUCCCCACAGCCCAGAGCCAGCAAGAAAGAGGCACAGGAGCCCAUCUGUGGACACGCGUGGUGAUUUUUCUUCAUCGUGUCAUCCUUGGAGAGAAUCUGAGAAGCGGAGCAUUCCUUCAUUCCCUCGCCCAGUGAGCAAAUGUUUGGGUGCCUCGAACGUGCCAGGCAUUGAACGAUGCGCUUUGGGCCUGACUAGACAUGGUCUCUCCUCUCAUGGAGCUCACAGGACAGCGAGGAAACGUCAUUCGCCAGAUACUCCCCAAACAAAUGUUAGAACGUGAGCUGUGACAGGUGCUACAAGGAUGUGACAUAGGACGAUUUGACCCACUCUGAGAAAAUGGAGUUUGGGCUGGAAUCUAAAGGAUGGAAAGGUGUUCCCCAGGCCAAGGGAGGAAAGGGCGCACUUCGUUACAGGGGAACAGCUGGAGUGGCUGGCUGUGGCGUGGGAUUGGAUGAAGUCGCUGUGGCUGCUGUGCAGGCAGGAAGAGCGUGUGUCACGGGACAUGAGGGCAGGUGACCUCGGGCUUUGGGAGCCACGCUAAUGAGUUCUGGCUUGAUCCUGAGGGUGAAGGGAAGCCACUGAAGUUUCCCCAAGCUGGUGUGUGUGUGUGUGACACGACUAGGUCUGUGCUCUGCAAAGGUCACGUGGCUGCGUUGUGAGGAAUGAGCCAAAAUGGGCUCAGGUGCCCAGAGCAGGUAGGUGGCUAUUGCACUAGUUGGGAUGUGAAAGGUCGGGGUACCUUGCAUCAGGAUAAAGAUGUAGGAAGUGGGCGGGGGGGGGGGGGGNGUAUUAAAGAAGCAUUUAGGAGAUAAAAUCAGCAGAACUCGGUAACCAAUGGGACGCGAGGAGUGCGAGAAAGAGAAUGUGUGUGGGUUUGUCCCGGCUUGGGCUUGCUCAGCUGGGCGGGUGGAGCUUAAGUGUUCAGGCUUAGACGUACUGAGUUGGAGGAACCUUUAAGAUGUUCAAAAAAGAGAUGUCAGGUAGGCAGUUGGAUGUCUCAGUCAGGAGCUCGGAGAUAAUAUGCGUGAGUCAUUUGCAAAUUGUGUGCACCGAUCUGUGAACCGACCAGCUGGUGUGGGUUCUAGUCCCAGCUUCAUUGAUCAAAUCACUGCCUGGCCCUGGGACUCUCUCUCGUUGGGGGGGGUGUGGGGGGGACCAAAGCUCCCUCCAGCUGUAACGUUCUCUGAAUCUGUGAGCCUAUGAGGAUGAAGCAUUGCCCAAGCCUCCCUGAAUCGUCCCUCCCCGCCCCCUCCCCCCGACAAAACCGGGGAAAGAAGUGU
Molecule: long non-coding RNA, 1351 nt
Filed under: Vulpes vulpes (red fox)
Lineage: Eukaryota; Metazoa; Chordata; Mammalia; Carnivora; Canidae
Description: lncRNA (ENSVVUG00000009720.1)
Source: RNAcentral